UGACAAGAAAUAACAAUACAGGGCUCUUCGAGUCAUGUAAUUGGAAUGAGUACAAUUUACAUCUCUUCACGAGGAUCAAUUGGAGGGCAAGUCUGGUGCCAGCAGCCGCGGUAAUUCCAACUCCAAUAGCGUAUAUUAAAGUUGUUGCAGUUAAAACGCUCGUAGUCGGAUUUCGGGGCGGGCCCGCCGGUCUGCCGAUGGGUAUGCACUGGCGGGCGCGCCCUUCCUCCCGGAGACGGCGCCGGAGACGGGAUAUUUACUUUGAAAAAAUCAGAGUGUUUCAAGCAGGCAGUCGCUCUUGCAUGGAUUAGCAUGGGAUAAUGAAAUAGGACUCUGGUGCUAUUUUGUUGGUUUCGAGCACCGGAGUAAUGAUUAACAGG
Molecule: ribosomal RNA, 380 nt
Filed under: Haptophyta environmental samples
Lineage: Eukaryota; Haptophyta
Description: SSU rRNA
Rfam family: Eukaryotic small subunit ribosomal RNA
Source: RNAcentral